This 468-nucleotide ribosomal RNA is filed under the name uncultured bacterium. RNAcentral describes it as "partial 16S ribosomal RNA". It matches the Rfam family "Bacterial small subunit ribosomal RNA", at positions 28 to 507 of the family's 1533-position model. The record is from RNAcentral.
GACGAACGCUGGCGGCGUGCUUAACACAUGCAAGUCGAACGGAAAGGCCCUGCUUUUGUGGGGUGCUCGAGUGGCGAACGGGUGAGUAACACGUGAGUAACCUGCCCUUGACUUUGGGAUAACUUCAGGAAACUGGGGCUAAUACCGGAUAGGAGCUCCUGCUGCAUGGUGGGGGUUGGAAAGUUUCGGCGGUUGGGGAUGGAUUCGCGGCUUAUCAGCUUGUUGGUGGGGUAGUGGCUUACCCAGGCUUUGACGGGUAGCCGGCCUGAGAGGGUGACCGGCCACAAUGGGACUGAGAUACGGCCCAGACUGCUACGGGAGGCAGCAGUGGGGAAUAUUGCACAGUGGGCGGAAGCCUGAUGCAGCAACGCCGCGUGCGGGAUGACGGCCUUCGGGUAGUAAACCGCUUUCGCCUGUGACGAAGCGUGAGUGACGGUAAUGUGUAAAGAAGCACCGGCUAACUACGUG